This is a long non-coding RNA of Leopardus geoffroyi (Geoffroy's cat), 2501 nucleotides long. RefSeq lists it as uncharacterized. NCBI's taxonomy places the organism in Eukaryota, Metazoa, Chordata, Mammalia, Carnivora, Felidae. The record is from RefSeq and is a predicted model, not a curated record. The transcript has 4 exons.
CUGACGUGGGGCUCGAACCCACGAACCGUGAGAUCACGACCUGAGCCGAAGUCGGACGCUCAACGGACUGAGCCAUCCAGGCACCCCACGAUCUGUGUGCUUUAACUCAAGGAAGGCGGCCUCCAGCAUAGUUUCCUAGUUACUGCUUGGAUAAAUGGGGCACCGAUAGGCCUAUCUAGAACCUUCCACACUAUGGCAAAAAAGCCGCUCAACUCACUCCCCCAUGUUUACUGUCCACUUCCUGUGGACGGCUUCCCUCAGCUUCGAGCCUGGAUCCAGUGCCCAGCAUGUGAAGACGCCUCCUCACCUGUGCUGAGCUGGGCCAGUGAGAGAACGACAGGGGUCUGAGCAGACCGUGCUGCCUCGCGCAAGCCUCUGCCGUUCUCACCACCUCUGCACCUGCUCUCCUGACCCCUUAGGACCACAUCCUCCGGGGGGCAGAGAGGGGCUCCGGCCGGGGCACGAGUCCCACCUCCCACCACCUCCGGUCCAAAGGUGCAUCACCUUUGCAGAGGAGAAAGCCGAGGCACCGUGAGGUUUGGUGACCUGCCCCAGUGACGCGCCCCCAGGUAAGCGAUGGGGGCUUUGUCUCCAGACGGUCUGGCCCUGCACAGCGUCACCUUCACAAAGAGAGGCCCGUCCUGCCCACCAUCCACUGUCGUGAGAGGACAACGGACGGACGGGGAAGGAGGAGGCAACGGAGGUCCGGCCACCCACCUGGCUGCUGGGACCCGGCCUUUCAUACUCGGAGCCUCCUGGUCCCCGCCCUGAGGGGCGGCAGAAACACAGCUGGACUGAAGCUGUCACCGGCCCCGUAAGUGAAUGUCCCCCAGCCCAUCCAGAAACAGCCACGCCUGUUUAAUACACUGCGACGAAAGCUCGGGAAGUGUGUUUAGUAACGGAUCAGACGAUUCCCUCCAAAGUAGGGAAAAUAAUAUUAAAGUGGAGAGGCUUUCUUAUUAAGGGAGCCUACCUCACCUGCCCGGCUUGAAACCGUGCCCCUGUUGUCUCUGGAACAAAACCACACUCACGUCGGGGUUCCCGGCUUCCACAUUUCAGGGGCUGGGGGCACGGACAGCCUGAUGGAGUUUGGGGAAAUUACCCGCUUCCUGCGAGUUUUCCUUUACCCCAGACCCCAUAAACGGAUGGAUGCUGCAGGUGUUUGUGUUAACCAGACCAUCUGAGACCUGAAGACACACGGGCAGGUCUGGGUUUCACUGUCAUGAGCCUUUUUUGCAGACUCCUCUGAGGAGGGGCACAGCCGCUCCCGGGUGAAGCAGGGGCUGGGGGUCUCUGAACCCCAAGAUGGCGUGGCCCCCGAGUAGCGGCUGUUACUCGCCCGCGGCCCCCGUGUGGUCUGUGCUCUACAGGAAACGAGCACUCGUGAGCAUCUCUCCCAGCCGUCCUGCUUCUGGGGUCACAUUCACCCAGCCUCCAACGACCUGGCCUCAAAAACAGCCCUCCUGACAUUGGCCUCAUCCACAGCUGCUGCAAAAUUGAAGUUGAAACGAAAGGGGAAGGACACCUGCAGGGCUGGGGGCCGGGGAGCCUUUGAAGUGUGGGUGCCGAGCGCUUUGCCACCUUUCAGGUGGCAAAUGGAUUUUCCUUCAGAGAAAAUCAAAUCCUUUGAGAGGGUGCCUGACCGGAGAAGUUGGGGACCGAGGUGUGGGCCGCCGUUCCAGACGGGAACCAGCUCCCCGGGUAGUGACGCUCGGCCGAGGAAGCACUACCCAGCCCUGCCCGCCUCUGCUGACCCCCUCCCCCAUGACCGUCCCCACACCGAGUGGAUGGCUUUGCUGCAGAGCUGGCUAAAUGCACCCUCCUUGCAGCGUCCAAAUCGGAACGUGGCCUAUAGAUGCAGUGUUUGCCCGGGUCCCGGAGGCGCCCCACAGGGUCUCCGUGGCACCUGGAGGCUGCGUGUCCGGCAGGCUUUUCCCAUACAGCCGGCCCCGUUCCGAUGACCCCCCGGGAGCGGGGCAUCCUGAGGGCAGGCCCGCCCUCGGUCACGUGUCACGAGUGGCCGGACGAGGGGUAGAGAAACACCCACAGCCGUGGGGUGAGAGCACCCGAUCUGUGUUAUCACCUGUGCCAGCCACGCGUGGGUCUCUUUUCCCCUGGUGGCCCCUGGGGCGGACCCAGGAUGAGCCGGUGUCCCCGCUCCUCCCCGGGAGCACCUGCGGCCUCAGCUGCAGACUCUCAGCAACCCCCCCCACCACCUUGGCGUCCGCACUUCCUGAAGGGCCCGAAGAGCCUGAAGGGCUGCGGGGAGGCUGCGUUCUGCAGUAACCCUGGAGCGUCUGACUUCAUCUGACUCUCAGGACUCGCGAUGAGCGGUCCCCACCCCUGGGUGGUCUGAGCGGUGUGCCGAGAACCCGGGGUCUGGAGGGGACGCACUCGCUUCAGCGUGUCGCGUCCCAGACCAGGCACCGAGAAGAGAGCGGGACGGGCCUCCCCGGCUUGUGGCUUGGCUCCCGCUGGCUCCGGCCCCAGAGGACACAGCC